GAGGCCAGCAGUGAGGAAUAUUGGGCAAUGGAGGCAACUCUGACCCAGCCAUGCCGCGUGCAGGAAGACUGCCCUAUGGGUUGUAAACUGCUUUUAUACAGGAAGAAACACACCUACGUGUAGGUGCUUGACGGUACUGUAAGAAUAAGCACCGGCUAACUCCGUGCCA
RNAcentral lists this ribosomal RNA (169 nucleotides) under uncultured marine bacterium. RNAcentral's name for it is "partial small subunit ribosomal RNA". It matches the Rfam family "Bacterial small subunit ribosomal RNA", at positions 344 to 510 of the family's 1533-position model. The record is from RNAcentral.